GAUGAACGCUGGCGGCGUGCCUAAUACAUGCAAGUCGAACGCAUUGUGGUUGAAAUGAUAUGAAGAACUUGUUCAGAUUUGAUUUUCAACAUUGCAAUGAGUGGCGAACGGGUGGGUAACACGUGGGAAACCUACCUCUUAGCAGGGGAUAACAUUUGGAAACAAAUGCUAAUACCGUAUAAUAAUUAAAACCGCAUGGUUUUAGUUUAAAAGAUGGUCUUGCUAUCACUAAGAGAUGGUCCCGCGGUGUAUUAGUUAGUUGGUGAGGUAAUGGCUCACCAAGACAAUGAUACAUAGCCGAGUUGAGAGACUGACCGGCCACAAUGGGACUGAGACACGGCCCAUACUCCUACGGGAGGCAGCAGUUAGGGAAUCUUCCACAAUGGACGAAAGUCUGAUGGAGCAAACGCCGCGUGUGUGAUG
This 423-nucleotide ribosomal RNA is filed under the name uncultured bacterium. RNAcentral describes it as "bacterial SSU rRNA". It matches the Rfam family "Bacterial small subunit ribosomal RNA", at positions 28 to 410 of the family's 1533-position model. The record is from RNAcentral.